CUACGGGAUGCAGCAGUGGGGAAUAUUGCACAAUGGGCGCAAGCCUGAUGCAGCCAUGCCGCGUGUAUGAAGAAGGCCUUCGGGUUGUAAAGUACUUUCAGCGGGGAGGAAGGGAGUAAAGUUAAUACCUUUGCUCAUUGACGUUACCCGCAGAAUAAGCACCGGCUAACUCCGUGCCAGCAGCCGCGGUAAUACGGAGGGUGCAAGCGUUAAUCGGAAUUACUGGGCGUAAAGCGCACGCAGGCGGUUUGUUAAGUCAGAUGUGAAAUCCCCGGGCUCAACCUGGGAACUGCAUCUGAUACUGGCAAGCUUGAGUCUCGUAGAGGGGGGUAGAAUUCCAGGUGUAGCGGUGAGAUGCGUAGAGAUCUGGAGGAAUACCGGUGGCGAAGGCGGCCCCCUGGACGAAGACUGACGCUCAGGUGCGAAAGCGUGGGGAGCAAACAGGAUUAGAUACCCCCGUAGUC
This 464-nucleotide ribosomal RNA is filed under the name uncultured bacterium. RNAcentral's name for it is "partial 16S ribosomal RNA". It matches the Rfam family "Bacterial small subunit ribosomal RNA", at positions 339 to 795 of the family's 1533-position model. The record is from RNAcentral.